GACGAACGCUGGCGGCGUGCUUAACACAUGCAAGUCGAACGGAAAGGCCCUGCUUUUGUGGGGUGCUCGAGUGGCGAACGGGUGAGUAACACGUGAGUAACCUGCCCUUGACUUUGGGAUAACUUCAGGAAACUGGGGCUAAUACCGGAUAGGAGCCCCUGCUGCAUGGAGGGGGUUGGAAAGUUUCGGCGGUUGGGGAUGGACUGGCGGCUUAUCAGCUUGUUGGCGGGGUAGUGGCUUACCAAGGCUUUGACGGGUAGCCGGCCUGAGAGGGUGACCGGCGACAUUGGGACUGAGGUACGGCCCAGACUCCUACGGGAGGCAGAAGUGGGGAAUAUUGCACAAUGGGCGGAAGCCUGAUGCAGCAACGCCGCGUGCGGGAUGACGGCCUUCGGGUUGUAAACCGCUUUCGCCUGUGACGAAGCGUGAGUGACGGUAAUGGGUAAAGAAGCACCGGCUAACUACGUG
Molecule: ribosomal RNA, 468 nt
Filed under: uncultured bacterium
Lineage: Bacteria
Description: partial 16S ribosomal RNA
Rfam family: Bacterial small subunit ribosomal RNA
Source: RNAcentral